GAUGAACGCUGGCGGCGUGCUUAACACAUGCCAGUCGAACGGAAAGGCCCAAGCUUGCUUGGGUACUCGAGUGGCGAACGGGUGAGUAACGCGUGGGUGAUCUGCCCUGCACUUCGGGAUAAGCCUGGGAAACUGGGUCUAAUACCGGAUAGGACCACAUUUUGGAUGGUGUGGUGGAAAGUUUUUCGGUGUGGGAUGAGCUCGCGGCCUAUCAGCUUGUUGGUGGGGUAAUGGCCUACCAAGGCGUCGACGGGUAGCCGGCCUGAGAGGGUGUACGGCCACAUUGGGACUGAGAUACGGCCCAGACUCCUACGGGAGGCAGCAGUGGGGAAUAUUGCACAAUGGGCGCAAGCCUGAUGCAGCGACGCCGCGUGGGGGAUGACGGCCUUCGGGUUGUAAACUCCUUUCGCUAGGGACGAAGCGCAAGUGACGGUACCUGGAGAAGAAGCACCGGCUAACUACGUG
This 465-nucleotide ribosomal RNA is filed under the name uncultured bacterium. RNAcentral's name for it is "partial 16S ribosomal RNA". It matches the Rfam family "Bacterial small subunit ribosomal RNA", at positions 28 to 507 of the family's 1533-position model. The record is from RNAcentral.